CGAUUCGCCUUCUUGGUCAUUAGAGGAAGUAAAAGUCGUAACAAGGUUUCGCUGAACAGUAUCCUUCCUGGUAACUUUCGGAAGCCUAUGCAACUGAAGAGGUCCGCGACUAUAAAUACAGGAUGCAAGUAGCCUAACGGCUGCAACAUAUCGAAUUGCGGGGACGUCCUAAAGCCUAGCGGUACCAACUUCCUGGGGAACUCAGGGAGGGCCUGUGCUAAUCACACAGGGGGUAAGAACCCGCUAGAUACUGCAAUGGAUAAUCCGCAGCGAAGCCCCUAACGGUGCAAGCCUACGGGAACGUCCACAGACUAAGUGGUUAUGGGUAGAGUGCGCUCUACUUAAAUAUAGUCGGUCUCUGUAAGAAAUUACAGAGGUUAAACGUUCCGUAGGUAACCUGCGGAAGGAUCAUUACAGAGUAUCAUGCCCUAACGGGUAGAUCUCCACCCUUGUAAAUAUAACAAUCUGUUGCUUUGGCGGGCUGUGAGCCUACUUGCCCGGGUUUAGGCCCGGUUAUGCCCGCCAGAGGACCCAAAAUUCUAAUAUUAUGUCGUCUGAGUACUAUAAAAUAGUUAAAACUUUCAACAACGAUCUCUUGGUUCUGGCAUCGAUGAAGAACGCAGCGAAAUGCGAUAAGUAUGUGAAUUGCAGAAUUCAGUGAAUCAUCGAAUCUUUGAACGCACAUUGCCCCCUUGGUAUUCCGGGGGGCAUGCCUGUUCGAGCGUCAUUAUAACCAACCAGCCUAGCUGGGUCUUGGGCCUCGCCGUCUGGCGGGCCUCGAAACUAUGGCGGUGCUUUUAAGCUCUACGCGUAGUAAUUUUAUCUCGCGAUAGUGCUUGGGAGAUACUUGCCAUCAACCCCAAAUUUUUUCAGGUUGACCUCGGUCAGGUAGGGAUACCCGCUGAACUUAAGCAUAUCAAUAAGCGGAGGGAA
This 933-nucleotide ribosomal RNA is filed under the name uncultured fungus. RNAcentral describes it as "eukaryotic LSU rRNA". The stretch from base 577 to 727 matches the Rfam family "5.8S ribosomal RNA". Lineage: Eukaryota; Fungi. The record is from RNAcentral.